UGUGUAGGCGGUUCUCUAAGUUUGGUGUGAAAUCUCCCGGCUCAACUGGGAGGGUGCGCCGAAAACUGGGGGGCUAGAGUGCGGGAUGGGUAAGUGGAAUUCCUGGUGUAGCGGUGAAAUGCGUAGAUAUCAGGAGGAACACCUGUGGUGUAGACGGCUUACUGGACCGCAACUGACGCUGAGACACGAAAGCGUGGGUAAGCAAACA
Molecule: ribosomal RNA, 208 nt
Filed under: uncultured bacterium
Lineage: Bacteria
Description: partial 16S ribosomal RNA
Rfam family: Bacterial small subunit ribosomal RNA
Source: RNAcentral